GAUGAACGCUAGCGGGAGGCCUAACACAUGCAAGUCGAGGGGUAACGGAAGUAGCUUGCUACUAGACGACGACCGGCGCACGGGUGAGUAACGCGUAUGUAAUCUGCCUUGUACAGGGGAAUAGCCCAGAGAAAUUUGGAUUAAUGCCCCAUAGUAUUAUUUAACCGCAUGGUUGAAUGAUUAAAGCUCCGGCGGUACAAGAUGAACAUGCGUGACAUUAGCUAGAUGGUAAGGUAACGGCUUACCAUGGCGACGAUGUCUAGGGGUUCUGAGAGGAUGAUCCCCCACACUGGUACUGAGACACGGACCAG
Molecule: ribosomal RNA, 311 nt
Filed under: uncultured bacterium
Lineage: Bacteria
Description: bacterial SSU rRNA
Rfam family: Bacterial small subunit ribosomal RNA
Source: RNAcentral